This 41-nucleotide transfer RNA is filed under the name Erythrostemon coccineus. Its description in RNAcentral is "tRNA-His". Lineage: Eukaryota; Viridiplantae; Streptophyta; Magnoliopsida; Fabales; Fabaceae. The record is from RNAcentral.
GGCGGAUGUAGCCAAGUGGAUCAAGGCAKGGGAUUUGNGAA